RNAcentral lists this long non-coding RNA (733 nucleotides) under Anas platyrhynchos platyrhynchos (common mallard). Its description in RNAcentral is "lncRNA (ENSAPLG00000023405.1)". Lineage: Eukaryota; Metazoa; Chordata; Aves; Anseriformes; Anatidae. The record is from RNAcentral.
AAAUGAAGAUUAAACAUAAAUUACAGCUGUAAAACAAGGUAAUCAGAAAUGUGAACAUGACAGUAUUAGGACAGCCGUGUGCCUUAAUCUGAUGCCUACAGGUAUGCAUACCUAUUGGUAUACAUACUGUGAGAACUACUACAUGAUCACAUACUGUGUUUUUCCAUCGAGUCCCUAUUCUGUUUAUUGAAUGGCAUGGACAGAGAUUGCUGAAUGAGACAGGUGAUCAAUUUUCAUUUAUUUAUGUAUUUUUAACCUUGUUUUCUUAAGAAAUGAUCUUCCUGUUAUUGUCUGCUGCCCACUUUUCUCUCUAAUGCCUUUAAGUCUAGUGGACUCACCAUGCUCCUCACAAUGCUGUCCCAGCAGCAGGCAGACACCAGACAAGGAAUUUUUAUAGCAUCAUGGACUUUCUUCUGGCAAAUGAGCACCUCACAAGUACUAAAAAGCUGUUCUGGUUUUGGUCCUUUGGAAUACAGAGAAAACCAGCUUGAACCCCAAAAUGGCUGUUUUGCACCUGUCUUCUGCCUCAUCCUGCUGGAUGGUCUGGUAGUGGGGUCUGCUGCAGAACGACCCUCUCACUACGAAUACAGAUGACUUUCUGGCUUCUGUGGACCUUCCGUAGAGGACAACUCCAUCCAGCCAAAUUUAACAAAUGAGACACUAGUAUAUAAUAAGUAUAUAACAUUGAAUGUAUGCUAAGUCACUAUAGAAACAUUUACUACUAAAUAAAUGC